This is a long non-coding RNA of Daucus carota subsp. sativus, 661 nucleotides long. RefSeq lists it as uncharacterized. The transcript is spliced from 2 exons. Lineage: Eukaryota; Viridiplantae; Streptophyta; Magnoliopsida; Apiales; Apiaceae. The record is from RefSeq and is a predicted model, not a curated record.
CUAUAUCAGUCAGUCAUUUUUGGCUUAUCAACACAUCUUAACGAGACUUGAAUUAUCAGAUUCGAGUUUUUAAGCUAUAUACAUCUUCAGCAGACUGCAGUUAACUUGUUUCUUCAACAGCUCGAAGCCAUGGUUCGAUUUGGAGAUUUCAUCACAAAGACGCGACUGAAUUCUAGGGGGAGGACUACUAAGCCAAUCAGGUGGUACAUGACAAAACUUUCUGGUCAUCAUAUCGAAGAUAAAACAGAGAGGUCACUGAAUAAGAAUGUAUCAUUGCCGGAAUGUGACGAUGAGAAUGCGAGAUCAUACUGGAUACCGGAUCCUCGGACCGGAAUCUAUGUCCCGAAAGGCCGUGAACGAGUGGUUGAAGACGUGCCAGAAAAUGCAGCAUCCUUCCAACGUACAUAUUGGCUGAGGAAUGUUGAUGGAGUUGAUCAUCCUAGGCCUGAUUAUUUUUUUAAUUAUUUUCCAGGAGAUAUUUAAUUGCUGAUAAGUGUAAUAUUGAAUAAAUAAGUUGUGCUAUGAGUAAAUAAAGUUCUCGCUAAUAACAAUAUAAAAUUUAAGCUAAUGAUCGUAUGUCUGGUGAUAUUGUUAAAAACUGAUGUGUUCGUUAGAAAACGACAUGUAUUAUUAUAGAAAUCAACUAUUUAGUAUUUUUUUU